Molecule: ribosomal RNA, 263 nt
Filed under: uncultured bacterium
Lineage: Bacteria
Description: partial 16S ribosomal RNA
Rfam family: Bacterial small subunit ribosomal RNA
Source: RNAcentral
AGUUAGUGGCGGACGGGUGAGUAACGCGUGGAAAACCUGCCGUAUACUGGGGGUAACACUUAGAAAUAGGUGCUAAUACCGCAUAAGCGCACAGCUUCGCAUGAAGCGGUGUGAAAAACUCUGGUGGUAUACGAUGGUUCCGCGUCUGAUUAGCUAGUUGGUGGGGUAAUGGCCUACCAAGGCAACGAUCAGUAGCCGGCCUGAGAGGGUGAACGGCCACAUUGGGACUGAGACACGGCCCAAACUCCUACGGAAGGCAGCAG